CUACUGGUUAGGUGGCCAAGAAUCUUUCAUUUUAGACACAUCUCAGGAGAGCUUGCUGGGAAGGACAGGGAUCAAGACAAAUGACCAAACAAACAUUAUGAUGCAAAGUCCUCCCUUUUUGUAUAUGCAUUGUGAUGGGUAAGCAGGAGAAAUGAUGGUCUAUCUAGAAGGCAAGACAAUGAUCCCAAACAUACAAGCAAAUCUACAGAGAAUGGAUGAAAAAGAACGAAUUGCAUGUUUUGGAAUGGCCAAGUCGAAUUCCAGAGCUAAAUCCCAUUUAGCUACCUCUAAAGUGUUUUGGAAGGACUUGAAAGAGUAGCUCAUGCUAGAAACUCCUCAAAUAUUACUGUAGUCAAGCAGCUUGUUGUGGAAAAAUGGACUGAAAUUCCUGCAAAGUGUUGUGUACUGAUCACCAAUUACAGGAAGUCACAGACAGUCUUGGAAUGUGAUAUGGGCACUUGGUGUCUGGCUCGCAGUUACAACUUCAAAGUGAGCUGUGGUCAUGUGAUUGUGAUUUCACAAUGUUGCCUGCCAGCUUCCCAUAAGCAAAGUCAAUGGGGAAACCUGCAGGAAGAUGGAAAUUGCAAUCAUAGAAGAUCCUAUCUUAACAACUGUACCGUUCUUGUUUAACAAUGACAACUGGGACUGCUGGGAUGGCUGUCAAUCAGCAAUGUGCUUACAGGAUAUUGUGCUUUACAACCACAUUGCUUAGCAAAGGAAAUUCCAGUUCCAAAUACUAUUGUGGCUCAAAGUCUACCCGUAUGGAACAGAAAGUGAACGUUGUUUUUUUGGAAGGAAUAAGCAGGUAUUUCUGUUUUUCAAAUGUGUUAAAUCUAAUUUAUGGCUAACAAUGCUGAUCUUGUGUUCCUUUUCGCCACAUUUUGAGAAUCAAUACCAUUGUCUUUGAGCAAUUGCAGCCAGUUAUUACUCUCUUGCAGUUAGGGAUGUAAGAGAGGGCACCAAAGCUACAUGGUCUGAGGCCUGACAUUGCCUGUUGCCAAUUGAAGCCAUAAUGUGAUUUGUUU
Non-coding RNA from Notechis scutatus (mainland tiger snake), 1025 nucleotides. Lineage: Eukaryota; Metazoa; Chordata; Lepidosauria; Squamata; Elapidae. The record is from RefSeq and is a predicted model, not a curated record.